UGGGGAGUCGCCAAGCGGUAAGGCACGUGGCUUUGGACCACGCAUUCGGAGGUUCGAAUCCUCCCUCCCCAG
This 72-nucleotide transfer RNA is filed under the name Candidatus Tectimicrobiota bacterium. Its description in RNAcentral is "tRNA-Gln". It matches the Rfam family "tRNA". From Rfam's summary of the family: Transfer RNA (tRNA) molecules are approximately 80 nucleotides in length. The record is from RNAcentral. Lineage: Bacteria; Pseudomonadati; Candidatus Tectimicrobiota.